Molecule: unclassified non-coding RNA, 226 nt
Filed under: rhizosphere metagenome
Description: partial ribosomal RNA internal transcribed spacer region
Source: RNAcentral
GUGGGUGAACCUGCGGAAGGAUCAUUAACACUGUUAAAAAAGGGAUUCAAAAUCCUUUUUAUCUUAUACACCCCUUUCUAUGAAUGAACGAUGAUUUUAUCAUUUCCCUUCUUUAUUCCAACCUUUUUUUACCCCAAUCUACCAAAACAUGCGAUAGACUGAAAUCAUUUUUUUUGAAAAAACAAAAACAAAAAAACAACUCUUAGCAACGGAUAUCUUGGCUCUC